RNAcentral lists this ribosomal RNA (328 nucleotides) under uncultured bacterium. Its description in RNAcentral is "bacterial SSU rRNA". It matches the Rfam family "Bacterial small subunit ribosomal RNA", at positions 568 to 898 of the family's 1533-position model. The record is from RNAcentral.
CGUGUAGGUGGAUUUCUAAGUCGGGGGUGAAAUCCCGCGGCUCAACCGCGGAAUUGCUUCCGAUACUGGGAAUCUUGAAUACGGCAGAGGGAGAUGGAAUUCAUGGUGUAGCGGUGAAAUGUGUAGAUAUCAUGAAGAACACCGGUAGCGAAGGCGGUCUCCUGGUCCGUUAUUGACACUGAGGCGCGAAAGCGUGGGGAGCAAACAGGAUUAGAUACCCUGGUAGUCCACGCCUUAAACGAUGGGUACUCGGUGCUGGGCCGAAAGGUUCAGUGCCAAAGCUAACGCAUUAAGUACCCCACCUGGGGAGUACGAUCGCAAGGUUGAA